Long non-coding RNA from Vicia villosa (hairy vetch), 402 nucleotides. RefSeq lists it as uncharacterized. NCBI's taxonomy places the organism in Eukaryota, Viridiplantae, Streptophyta, Magnoliopsida, Fabales, Fabaceae. The record is from RefSeq and is a predicted model, not a curated record. The transcript is spliced from 2 exons.
AUCAUAUUCAGUGUUUUACAUGCAAAGGAGAAAAAUAUGGCUAAAACUAUUAAGUUUAUUUAUUGCAUAAUUCUUUACCUUUUCUUGUUCCCCGUCGUAGUGAAAAUUGGAAGUGCAUAUAGUUGUGAAGUUGAUGAAGAUUGUCCACGAAGUGCGAACGUGUUUUAUGUUAUCAAGUGCAUUGGUAACAUGUGUGAACGAAGUACAAAACAUUUCUGAUUCUACGAGUACUAGACCUGGGAGAGUACAAAAUGUGUGAUAGAAUAUUUCUAAAGCUUUCGAUUAGUUUUUGUAAUGACACUUAAUAAUUGUUUUUUAAUUUUCCUAUUUCCAUAAACCCUUUGUAUUAUGAUUUUCUACUCUAAGAUAAUGACCCAAAAACAAAGAGUUUGUUUGUUUUUA